Long non-coding RNA from Pseudopipra pipra, 506 nucleotides. RefSeq lists it as uncharacterized. NCBI's taxonomy places the organism in Eukaryota, Metazoa, Chordata, Aves, Passeriformes, Pipridae. The record is from RefSeq and is a predicted model, not a curated record. The transcript has 2 exons.
GAUGGGGAGAGAGGGACAGCGCAGAGUCAUAGAACCCUGGAAUGGUUUGGGUUGGAAAGGACCUCAAUGACCACCCAGUGCCACCCCUGCCAUGGCAGGGACACCUUGCACUAGCCCAGGUGGCUCCGAGCCCUGUCCAACCUGGCCUUGGACACUUCCAGGGAUGGCCGUGUCUGCUUCUCUCCAUCUGCAGGCUCGGGCUGGGUGCCAGGGGGUGGAAGGAGGAGGCUGCUGCUUGGGCAUGUGAGGCACCAGAGUCGGAGAGUGGCUGGAAGGGAGGGCUGGCAAGUGAGGAAUUGCCACAGAAUCACAGGUGGCUGAGGUUGGAGGUCACCUGGUCCAAUUCCUGCUCAAGCAGGGUCAGGUGCAGCAGCUUGCCCAGGAGCACAACCAGCUGGAUUUUGAAUAUGUCCAAGGAAGGAGACUCCACAACCUCCCUGGGCAGCCUGUGCCCAUGCUCGGUCCUCCUCACAGGAACUAAAGUGGUUCCCUGUGUUUGGGUGGUA